RNAcentral lists this long non-coding RNA (479 nucleotides) under Malus domestica (apple). Its description in RNAcentral is "long non-coding RNA (MDOM_LNC020940)". Lineage: Eukaryota; Viridiplantae; Streptophyta; Magnoliopsida; Rosales; Rosaceae. The record is from RNAcentral.
AGCAUAUAACAUUUAUAUGAGACGGCUUAAAACAAUAAUCUUUGCCCUUGAUAUUAAGCUAGAUUAGUUUAACAUGUGAAAUGUCCGUAAAGUAUCAUCAUAUGAUUGGUUUUAGGGCACAUUUCCAACAAUCUCCCACUUGCACUAGAGCCAAUCAGCUUGGUCAUCAGUGAUGAUACCUCUUCUGUAGUCAUUUCAAAAAUGGCUGAGUAGUAGGCCUAGGCAAUGGAUAUCUAUAUGUUAUCCAUAGAAGCAACCUUGAGAAUAAUGACGUCACCAUUAUACAUGAUUCUUAAUCAUGUGGUUUAGUCUCUCAUUUGAGUUUGGAUCUUGAUGAGACCUUAAUUCCCUGGCUUGAGCUAUCGCCCCAUUAGUGUCGUAGUGUGACGCGUAAAAUAAGUUAACACACAAAUUUAACCCUCUUUUUGACAAUUGUAGUAUAGAUGUAAGUAGGGUAUCGUUCUAGGCCGGGGAUUAGG